Molecule: long non-coding RNA, 1175 nt
Filed under: Vombatus ursinus (common wombat)
Lineage: Eukaryota; Metazoa; Chordata; Mammalia; Diprotodontia; Vombatidae
Description: lncRNA (ENSVURG00010013337.1)
Source: RNAcentral
GUCUACGCCAAGUAUGUGAAAACUUCUCCUGGUGGAGUGAGCAGAUGAGAACAAUUUAUUCCAACGGCCAUGAAAGUGGCUGAAGCAGGUACUGUGGAGUGCUUAGAGCUUGGUCAGGCACUGAAGAUGCCAAGGUCAUCCACUGCACCCUGGGCCAGUGCCAGUCAUGCUGACUUUUGUCUUGCCAUUGGACUUCUAUGAUUCUGGAAGUUGGACUUCUAUGAUUCUAGAAGAGAGAGUGAGGCUGAUGACUUAAUGUAGCUUUGCCUCACUAAAAUCCAAUUCAACUACAAGUCAAGAAAUCACCCAUGAUGUUAUUGGUUCUCUUCAAAAAUGGAGACAAACAACGAUUGCUGCUGCUGCUACCACCACCACCACUGCCCCAUUAUUUCUCCUUCUUCUUCUUCCACUGCUAUUCCUACUCCUACUCCUACUAUUUACUCCUCCUUCUCCUCCAGUGGAGUCACUGCCUUGGAAGAUACUUUCUGCCUGCUUCUGGAGAAUACCCAGGCAUUCUGGGGAACUGGCUUCAUCUUCAGACCUAACUGGGUGCUGAAGAACUAAUGACCCUGGGGACAAAUGUGGCAGCUUCCUCUUCAUGACCUUUUGGACGCAGCCCUCCAGGUGACAAAUAUGAUUUAUGUGAUAGGUGGGGGAGGACCCUUCUGUCCUCCAGCAUAAUGGCAGGAGGGCUUGCUGAUGCCAGCAUAGAACACUCGAGUAGAAGGAACUCAAUGAGAUAAGUUUCUACUAGACCCCUUGGCUGCCUUUGCCUUCUUCCAUUAGCAUCAACCUUGUGAGCAUCAAAAGGUCUGCAGUAUCUUCCCCUUUCCCAUCACCAAUCAGCAGGGAAGACAGAGGGCCUAAGCAGCAGCAGGAGCUGGCAGAUGCCAAAGGAAGAACUGGCAUCAGAGAGAGGCCAAUGGAAAGAUCAAACUCAGCUGUUUGAUAUGACAGUCAUUAGGCUGUGAGCUCCUUGAGGGCAGGCACCAUAGUCUGCUUUUUUUGUAUCCCCAGUACUUAGCACCCAAGUCUGGCUCACAGUUGAUUCUUAAUGGGGGGGGGCAGGGAAUAAGCAUUUAUAUAGCACCUGCUAUGUGUCAGGCCACCAUGCUAAGGGCAUUACAAAUAUUAUUUUAUUUGAUCAUUACUUAAUAAACUUUUAUUGACUGACA